UACGGAGGGGGGCUAGCGUUGUUCGGAAUUACUGGGCGUAAAGCGCACGUAGGCGGCUUUGUAAGUUAGAGGUGAAAGCCCGGGGCUCAACUCCGGAAUUGCCUUUAAGACUGCAUCGCUAGAAUUGUGGAGAGGUAAGUGGAAUUCCGAGUGUAGAGGUGAAAUUCGUAGAUAUUCGCAAGAACACCAGUGGCGAAGGCGGCUCACUGGCCCGAUACUGACGCUGAGGCACGAAAGCGUGGGGGAGCAAACAGG
RNAcentral lists this ribosomal RNA (255 nucleotides) under uncultured bacterium. RNAcentral describes it as "partial 16S ribosomal RNA". It matches the Rfam family "Bacterial small subunit ribosomal RNA", at positions 524 to 776 of the family's 1533-position model. The record is from RNAcentral.